AUGUAUGUGCAGGCGGCUGAUUGUCCGGAAGCUGACCGGACUUCUGAUUUUGCCGAACUAAAGCGGCAGCUGGACGUGGCGGAUGCCGACAUCGCGCUUGUUAAUAAGCGGCUUGACGAGGCCCAGGAUGGAGCUGCUGCCGUAGAGAUCCUUCGGGCGGAGCUUGCCCGAGCCAAGGAACAAGCUCGAAGAAGUGAUGCAACCGCCAUGAAGGCGGUCGAAGAACUGAAAGCCGAACAGGCUGCUCAUCACCGGAGCAAAGAAAAGAUAGCCCAGAUGGCUACCGAGCUGAAGGAUGCCGCCAACCGCCGUGAGCUCCUUGAAGAGGAAAAUCAAGCAAAAGUGGCUGACCUGAAGAAGUCCCUGGAGGCAGCCAAGGAAACCCGCUCUGAAAUGAGGGGGAUGAGGGAGGAGCUUCGUGAAGCCGGAGAUAUCGUAGCUGGGAAGCCCUAUCUGCUGCGGAUGAAAUUCGAAGAUCUGAAGUAUGCCCCUCUGGAUAAGUUGUGGAGUGCGGCGGACUCAUAUGCGGACCUGGCAAAGAGAGCUGCUGAUGCGACCGAGUUUUACAAAGAUCGGAAAGACCAUAAGGCUGAGAGGUUAUUCUGGUCGUAG
RNAcentral lists this ribosomal RNA (612 nucleotides) under Triticum aestivum (bread wheat). Its description in RNAcentral is "partial small subunit ribosomal RNA". The record is from RNAcentral. Lineage: Eukaryota; Viridiplantae; Streptophyta; Magnoliopsida; Poales; Poaceae.